Long non-coding RNA from Oxyura jamaicensis (ruddy duck), 2156 nucleotides. RefSeq lists it as uncharacterized. NCBI's taxonomy places the organism in Eukaryota, Metazoa, Chordata, Aves, Anseriformes, Anatidae. The record is from RefSeq and is a predicted model, not a curated record. The transcript has 2 exons.
UUAAAGCCCCGUGCGAUGUCAUGUGUGUAUAAAGUCAUCCAUGGCCCUACGAGUGCACAGCUAGCUUGUAAUGGGCAUGUUAAUAAGGCUAUUAAGGUUUACAGAUAUUCUGCUCUUCCUUACAGUUUAUAAUUUAAUUAAUUGCCGGUUAAUUGUCUUAUUUUCCCCCUGUGAUUGAUGUCACCGAGUGGGAUUAGGCAGCAUCAGAUGAUAGGGAAAGCGGGAGUGAAUGCAGUGUCCUGCGACGGUACGAGAGGAGAUGUUUUUAUGGACAAAUCCUUUCCGACAUGGAUGAGUACCGCAAUGAGAUAUCACCGGGUAUCAGCUCGAUACAUAUUGUAAUGGGAUCAUUAGCGGAGGUACCAGCUGUGUGAGGUUUGUGUUCACAAGCCAUGGGUAAGUAACAGGGAAAUAUUGGCUCCUUGGAAAUGUUUGCCAAAUGUAAAUCCUUCCCUUUUUACAGAGCCAGCGCUCGGUUUGUAUAACGUUGAAUAAUACUCCACGAGGCCCCGGGGGACUGCUCUGGCUACCCCUGCAGUCGGUAGCGGCAGGAGAGCCUUUGGUUCUGUGCUGCAGGAAGGGAACCUGGGCGCUGCCUCAGAGCUACCCGGGCAAGCCGGCAGCAUCGCUCCUCCUGGUGCCAGCAGCCCAGCGGGUCACUGAGCUCCGGGUUGGCUUUUAACCUGCCCUCUGUGGGGUAUACAUCUGGAGGUGCUGCAGAAGUACUCCAGAGGUUCUGCUUUCCCUGAGCCCUUCUGAGUGACCAAAGGCAGCCCGCUCUGGCAUGCCUUCAGCUCCCAAAGCCCGCAGUGGUGCCAAGCGAGGGGAUCUGGGGUAAAUGAAAACCCAGACCUAAGUGACUUUUGACCAGACUUUGAUGUCAUUUCAGCAGAAUAAACCUGGAGCAAUUACAGCGGCUUUGGCGUGAGCGAGAUCAGAUUGUGAAACCAGGCUGAAGAGAAAAUAACCCGUGUGUGCCUGCCCGGGUGGGCGUGCAGUGAGUUAGAGCCCCUGCAUAAAUCAGCGCACGCUAAGUAGGUUAUUUCUGAGGCUGUAAUCAGAACAAGGAGCCAGCCAAACCACAUCUGUCUCUUUUAAUUCAUUCCUUCCAUUUUGGGGACUUCGCCUUCAGGAACAGCUAUCAGUGAUUACAUAAAAGAGAUUAGCUAACAUUUCUGCAUAAAUCAAGGCCGGCGCAAGAUGUUUCCUACAGGCGUUGCGAAACCCGCGCCGGGCGGAGGACACGCUCCCCACCGAACACGGCGACGCUGCCCUGGCCCGACAGCAGCUCAGGGGCCACGGACAAAACCUUCGUGCUUCUCCAACCGGCCUUGCAGAAAGCAGAUCCAACGUGUGCGUGGAGGGGAACGGCGGGCCCUGGGUCUGCGUGGUGGUGUGUUUUUUUUUUUUUUCCCCUGUGAGCAGAUCUUCCAGCCAAGAUACAUGACAGAAACAAUGAAAGGAAGAGAGGGGCAGGAGAGCCUUAUUGUAAACCAGAUUUCCAUGUGUGAAUGCAAAUCAAUCUUGCUGUUAAAGAAAGAGCCGAGCCAGAACGUGUUACAUCUCCUCUUUUAGCACAGUCGCUAACAGAAUGUCUUGAUGUGAACGCUGUUGUGUGACUCAACAAAUCUUCGUGUUUGUUUCUUUUUUUCCAUUUCAAGGCGGUUUCAUCAUUUUCCUCCACUUUUUGCUCUGUUAACAUGAGUGGUCAGAGCAGAUCUAUGCUGAGAUAUAGGGGAAGGCUCAGCACUUCUCUCCCAUUUGAUCUGCCCUAAGUGGUUCCAAUCCCCUGACUGCAGAGCAUCUGUCCCUGCGCUGUCCUUCCACCCAUCAUCUGCAUCUGAGCUUCCCUGCUGAGCCUUCGAGCCAAAAAUACCAAAAGAAAUCUCAAGUUUUUCAUUCUUUCAAUUUUGAGGAACUGAAUUCGAGACCUCACUGCUGAGUUUCAACACUGCCAAAUACCAGUAGCUCCCAUUAGCUGCUGAGUACUCAUCACUUCUCAAAGUCAGGCCCCGGGUAUCUCUUACUGGUAUUUAUUACUUGGAGUUGUGCUUGAAACCUUAGCAAGACCCGGGAAGAACUGAAAAGAGGAAGUUUCACGCUCCUUUCUUUCCAGGUGGGGAACUGAACUGCAGGGCAAUUUAAGGUCUGAUGUU